CGAACGCUGGCGGCGUGGCUAAAACAUGCAAGUCGCACGGAAAGGCGGCUUCUGACCCUUCGGGUGACGAAGCUGUACUCAAGUGGCGAAAGGGCGAGGAAUACAUGGAUAACGUGCCUUUGGCAUGGGGACAGCUGAGGGAAACUUCAGGUAAUACCCAAUGAGACCACAGUGCUUUCGGGCACAGGGGUCAAAGAUGGGGCUCCUUCGGGACCUAUCGGCCAUAGAGCGGUCCAUGUCCUAUCAGCUUGUUGGUGAGGUAAUGGCUCACCAAGGCGACGACGGGUACCGGGACUGAGAGGUUGACCCGGCGCAUCGGGACUGAGACACUGCCCGGACUCCUACGGGAGGCUGCAGUAACGAAUAUUGGUCAAUGGGCGAAAGCCUGAACCAGCGACGCCGCGUGUGGGAGGAAGCCCUUCGGGGUGUAAACCACUGUCAGGGAUUACCAAGCAAUGGAGGCUAAUACCCUCCUGCGUUGAGGCGUCCCAGAGGAAGUCACGGCUAACUUCGUGCCAGCAGCCGCGGUAAUACGAAGGUGGCGAGCGUUGUUCGGAAUCACUGGGCUUAAAGAGCACGUAGGCGGACUGCCAAGCGUCUUGUGAAAUCCCCCGGCUCAACCGGGGAAUUGCUGGGCGAACUGGUAGUCUUGAGGCAAGUAGGGGCAGAUGGAACUCUUGGUGGAGCGGUGGAAUGCGUAGAUAUCAAGAGGAACGCCAGAGGCGAAGGCGAUCUGCUGGGCUUGACCUGACGCUGAGGUGCGAAAGCCAGGGGAGCAAACGGGAUUAGAUACCCCGGUAGUCCUGGCCAUAAACGAUGUCCACUAG
RNAcentral lists this ribosomal RNA (827 nucleotides) under uncultured organism. RNAcentral describes it as "bacterial SSU rRNA". It matches the Rfam family "Bacterial small subunit ribosomal RNA", at positions 30 to 819 of the family's 1533-position model. The record is from RNAcentral.